UCUGAAUUGAAGCAGCUUACAUGUUAGCUAACAGAAUGUAAGCUGCUUCAAUUCAGGGA
This 59-nucleotide microRNA precursor is filed under the name Monodelphis domestica (gray short-tailed opossum). RNAcentral's name for it is "microRNA mdo-mir-7321 precursor". Lineage: Eukaryota; Metazoa; Chordata; Mammalia; Didelphimorphia; Didelphidae. The record is from miRBase by way of RNAcentral.